This is a long non-coding RNA of Thunnus maccoyii (southern bluefin tuna), 410 nucleotides long. RefSeq lists it as uncharacterized. The transcript is spliced from 4 exons. NCBI's taxonomy places the organism in Eukaryota, Metazoa, Chordata, Actinopteri, Scombriformes, Scombridae. The record is from RefSeq and is a predicted model, not a curated record.
CACGAAGUCUUCACGGAAACACCCGAAGCGCUGGGUGGACUGGUGUUAGGCCGCACCGUCGGCAGCAGGACCUUCACGACGGGCACAGAACAAACCAGCUGUUUUCAUGUUGAACAGAAGAAGGCUGUUGAAGUCUCUGUCUUCACAACUUUAAGUCAGUUUCUGAACAGCUUUAUCCGGACUUCCUUGGUUCCUCAGCCUGCCCAGCUGCAGAGGUCUGAAGCUCUACUGAACACAAGACAAGGGCAGUUGGCUUCAGUACGCCCCCUGCUGCAGGAAAGUGGGCAUGGCUCGCCUGUCCACCUGCUGACGCCUCAUACGGACAACGGCUGCGUCUACCUGAGUUGCUGCUCUCUUGCCAUACUGAUUGUCUCAGCAAUUUUCUUCACCAGGCCGUCAUUGACAGUAUG